CGUCCAUCCUCAUCCAGAACCUGGCUCAAGACCAGAUUUUUAAGCUCUUCGCAAAUGGCUUGCAUCGCCAUCUCAUCAUCAUCGUCAUUCUCAUCAGCUUUUGGCUGAUUUUGGUCAGGGUUUUGGAAAUUGAGAUCGGACGAUAACAACAAUGUUUCAGAAUUCUGGGAUUGAAUCCCAAAUUCUUCAGUUUGAUCUGGUAAUUGAUUGUGAUUUUGGUGUUGUUCAAUUGCUUCCAUUGUUGUUGCUCUGCAUUUCAAUCAGUAAAAACCCUAAUUGAGGAAUUCAG
This 289-nucleotide unclassified non-coding RNA is filed under the name Hevea brasiliensis (rubber tree). Lineage: Eukaryota; Viridiplantae; Streptophyta; Magnoliopsida; Malpighiales; Euphorbiaceae. The record is from RNAcentral.